CGCGUUAUACAUCCAUUGCCAGUCCAUUUGCAUCGUAUUACGCAUGAAAAUGGAUUAUGCAUGGACAACAUAUGAACCCCACAUUACGCAUCGUAUUACGUGGAAAAUGAACGUAGGGUUUUUUAUAGGAUUAUUAUUUAUAAUUUAGUUCUUACAUUAAACAUGAGAUAAAUAAAUUGUUGGUCAAAUAAAUACAAUUAUUAAGUUUUAAAUUAUAGUGAUAUGAAAAAAUGUAGCAAUGAUCAAAUUCUAUUUUCUUACCCUGCAAUUUAUUUACCUUAAUUUUAUAGCAAUUUCUGAAUAUUAAAAACACAUUUACUCCAAUUUUUCCUCAUACAUAAUAUUGAAAUCCUCUCCAUUCUACCUCACAUUUACUCUCCAUUCUCCCUUACAUUCUAGCUCAAAAUCCUCUCCAUUUUCUACUUCACAUUCUAGCAAAUAAACUAUCGAUCCAUCUCUAUUCUACACAUCAAGUUGUUUUAACUAAUACGAAUUGUAUAUAACAAUCAAACUAUCCAUCACAUUCUAGAUCAAAAACAUGUAUAAAUACAAAUCC
This 556-nucleotide long non-coding RNA is filed under the name Setaria viridis. RNAcentral's name for it is "long non-coding RNA (SVIR_LNC009176)". The record is from RNAcentral. Lineage: Eukaryota; Viridiplantae; Streptophyta; Magnoliopsida; Poales; Poaceae.